CCUACGGGUGGCAGCAGUGGGGAAUAUUGCACAAUGGGGGAAACCCUGAUGCAGCGACGCCGCGUGAGUGAAGAAGUAAUUCGUUACGUAAAGCUCUAUCAGCAGGGAAGAAAAUGACGGUACCUGAGUAAGAAGCCCCGGCUAACUACGUGCCAGCAGCCGCGGUAAUACGUAGGGGGCGAGCGUUAUCCGGAUUUACUGGGUGUAAAGGGAGCGUAGACGGUUCGGCAAGUCUGGAGUGAAAUGCCGGGGCUUAACCGCGGAACUGCGUUGGAAACGGGGGAACUAGAGUGCGGGAGAGGCAAGCGGAAUGCCUAGUGUAGCGGUGAAAUGCGCAGAUAUGAGGAGGAACACCGGUGGCGAAGGCGGCUUGCUGGACAGUAACUGACGUUGAGGCUCGAAAGCGCGGGGAGCAAACAGGAUUAGAUACCCUUGUAGUC
RNAcentral lists this ribosomal RNA (440 nucleotides) under uncultured bacterium. RNAcentral describes it as "partial 16S ribosomal RNA". It matches the Rfam family "Bacterial small subunit ribosomal RNA", at positions 338 to 795 of the family's 1533-position model. The record is from RNAcentral.